AGUUUAGUUCAGUUGGUAGAACACUCGACUUGUAAUCGAGAUGUCGGUGGUUCGAUUCCAUCAACU
RNAcentral lists this transfer RNA (66 nucleotides) under uncultured Granulicatella sp. It matches the Rfam family "tRNA". Rfam says of the family: Transfer RNA (tRNA) molecules are approximately 80 nucleotides in length. Their secondary structure includes four short double-helical elements and three loops (D, anti-codon, and T loops). Further hydrogen bonds mediate the characteristic L-shaped molecular structure. tRNAs have two regions of fundamental functional importance: the anti-codon, which is responsible for specific mRNA codon recognition, and the 3' end, to which the tRNAs corresponding amino acid is attached (by aminoacyl-tRNA synthetases). tRNAs cope with the degeneracy of the genetic code in two manners: having more than one tRNA (with a specific anti-codon) for a particular amino acid; and 'wobble' base-pairing, i.e. permitting non-standard base-pairing at the 3rd anti-codon position. Lineage: Bacteria; Bacillati; Bacillota; Bacilli; Lactobacillales; Carnobacteriaceae. The record is from RNAcentral.